Molecule: ribosomal RNA, 115 nt
Filed under: Escherichia coli
Lineage: Bacteria; Pseudomonadati; Pseudomonadota; Gammaproteobacteria; Enterobacterales; Enterobacteriaceae
Source: RNAcentral
CUGGCGGCCUUAGCGCGGUGGUCCCACCUGACCCCAUGCCGAACUCAGAAGUGAAACGCCGUAGCGCCGAUGGUAGUGUGGGGUUUCCCCAUGCGAGAGUAGGGAACUGCCAGGC